RNAcentral lists this non-coding RNA (231 nucleotides) under Bacillus atrophaeus. Its description in RNAcentral is "T-box sequence". It matches the Rfam family "T-box leader". Rfam says of the family: Uncharged tRNA acts as the effector for transcription antitermination of genes in the T-box leader family. T-boxes are found upstream of many aminoacyl-tRNA synthetase genes and some amino acid biosynthetic genes usually in Gram-positive bacteria. The record is from RNAcentral. Lineage: Bacteria; Bacillati; Bacillota; Bacilli; Caryophanales; Bacillaceae.
GAAAAGACGAUUGAAAGGGACAGUCAUGUUUCAAUUUGGCUUUUGAAGCGACUCGGGGAUGGUGUGAGCCUGAGACAGCCGGAGACAUGUAGAUCAGCCCUUAAGUUUCCUUUCUGAACUGACAGUAAGAAAGGACGUUCCAUCACGUUACGAUGCUGGAGAGGAAGAAGCGUGUGUUUCCCGUUUCUUCUAAAAGGGUGGUACCGCGAGAUAAGCUUUCUCGUCCCUUAU